Molecule: ribosomal RNA, 253 nt
Filed under: uncultured bacterium
Lineage: Bacteria
Description: partial 16S ribosomal RNA
Rfam family: Bacterial small subunit ribosomal RNA
Source: RNAcentral
UACGUAGGGGGCUAGCGUUGUCCGGAAUCAUUGGGCGUAAAGAGCGUGUAGGCGGCCCGGUAAGUCCGCUGUGAAAGUCGGGGGCUCAACCCUCGAAUGCCGGUGGAUACUGUCGGGCUAGAGUGCGGAAGAGGCGAGUGGAAUUCCUGGUGUAGCGGUGAAAUGCGCAGAUAUCAGGAGGAACACCAGUAGCGAAGGCGGCUCGCUGGGCCAUUCCUGACGCUGAGACGCGAAAGCUAGGGGAGCGAACAGG